This 482-nucleotide ribosomal RNA is filed under the name uncultured bacterium. RNAcentral's name for it is "partial 16S ribosomal RNA". It matches the Rfam family "Bacterial small subunit ribosomal RNA", at positions 30 to 507 of the family's 1533-position model. The record is from RNAcentral.
AUUGAACGCUGGCGGUAUGCUUUACACAUGCAAGUCGAACGGUAACAGGCCGCAAGGUGCUGACGAGUGGCGAACGGGUGAGUAAUGCAUCGGAACGUGCCCAGUCGUGGGGGAUAACUACUCGAAAGAGUAGCUAAUACCGCAUACGAUCUAUGGAUGAAAGCGGGGGACCGUAAGGCCUCGCGCGAUUGGAGCGGCCGAUGUCAGAUUAGGUAGUUGGUGGGGUAAAGGCUCACCAAGCCAACGAUCUGUAGCUGGUCUGAGAGGACGACCAGCCACACUGGGACUGAGACACGGCCCAGACUCCUACGGGAGGCAGCAGUGGGGAAUUUUGGACAAUGGGCGCAAGCCUGAUCCAGCAAUGCCGCGUGCAGGAAGAAGGCCUUCGGGUUGUAAACUGCUUUUGUACGGAACGAAACGGCUCUGGUUAAUACCCGGGGCUAAUGACGGUACCGGAAGAAUAAGCACCGGCUAACUACGUG